UACGGAGGAUGCGAGCGUUAUCCGGAUUUAUUGGGUUUAAAGGGUGCGUAGGCGGCGAGUUAAGUCAGCGGUAAAAGCCCGGGGCUCAACCCCGACAAGCCGUUGAAACUGGCUUGCUAGAGUGGGCGAGAAGUAUGCGGAAUGCGUGGUGUAGCGGUGAAAUGCAUAGAUAUCACGCAGAACUCCGACUGCGAAGGCAGCUCUCUGGGCCGGCACUGACGCUGAAGCACGAAAGCGUGGGUAUCGAACAGG
RNAcentral lists this ribosomal RNA (252 nucleotides) under uncultured Bacteroidales bacterium. RNAcentral describes it as "partial 16S ribosomal RNA". It matches the Rfam family "Bacterial small subunit ribosomal RNA", at positions 524 to 776 of the family's 1533-position model. Lineage: Bacteria; Pseudomonadati; Bacteroidota; Bacteroidia; Bacteroidales. The record is from RNAcentral.